UUACAUGUCCUUUAACACA
This 19-nucleotide transfer RNA is filed under the name Adelphobates quinquevittatus (Rio Madeira poison frog). RNAcentral's name for it is "partial tRNA-Phe". Lineage: Eukaryota; Metazoa; Chordata; Amphibia; Anura; Dendrobatidae. The record is from RNAcentral.